GAUGAACGCUGGCGGCGUGCCUAAUACAUGCAAGUCGAGCGAACGGACGAGAAGCUUGCUUCUCUGAUGUUAGCGGCGGACGGGUGAGUAACACGUGGAUAACCUACCUAUAAGACUGGGAUAACUUCGGGAAACCGGAGCUAAUACCGGAUAAUAUUUUGAACCGCAUGGUUCAAAAGUAAAAGACGGUCUUGCUGUCACUUAUAGAUGGAUCCGCGCUGCAUUAGCUAGUUGGUAAGGUAACGGCUUACCAAGGCAACGAUGCAUAGCCGACCUGAGAGGGUGAUCGGCCACACUGGAACUGAGACACGGUCCAGACUCCUACGGGAGGCAGCAGUAGGGAAUCUUCCGCAAUGGGCGAACGCCUGACGGAGCAACGCCGCGUGAGUGAUGAAGGUCUUCGGAUCGUAAAACUCUGUUAUUAGGGAAGAACAUAUGUGUAAGUAACUGUGCACAUCUUGACGGUACCUAAUCAGAAAGCCACGGCUAACUAUGUG
This 497-nucleotide ribosomal RNA is filed under the name uncultured bacterium. RNAcentral describes it as "partial 16S ribosomal RNA". It matches the Rfam family "Bacterial small subunit ribosomal RNA", at positions 28 to 507 of the family's 1533-position model. The record is from RNAcentral.